Molecule: long non-coding RNA, 911 nt
Organism: Protopterus annectens (West African lungfish)
Lineage: Eukaryota; Metazoa; Chordata; Ceratodontiformes; Protopteridae
Exons: 3
Source: RefSeq, a predicted model, not a curated record
ACUGUUAACAAGCAUUUCACACACACACCCCGCAGGUAUUACCUACCCUGUCUCGUCUCUGAUUCAGACCCCCUUUCUAUCCACUUUGAUGCGGCGCUUUCCCCGCUAGUGCUGUGCACCGCGCGCACGUGCGCGGGAACGGAAUGUUAGAAUCUAAUGAGCUGCGUGAGUCAAAGCACCCCGGCGCGUGUGGGUCUCGUUAGUAAGCGAUCAGCUGGUGGAGCUGAACAGGAAAUGUGCACGGAGCACUAAAUGUCUGGCGUUUGGGAUGCCCAAGAAACUCUGUUUAGCCUACUCGUGCUGUAUGCGUGCCUCUGUCCUGCAUGCCAUGUGUCCUGCUUGCUGUUUUCUCCUCUUCUUGGUUAACCAAAUAGUGAAAAGCUCACUCUUCUUGGUUACUGUACGCCAGCCGUCAUGCUAAAACAGCCGGCACAUCAACUGCUUUAAGUAAAAGUUGGUGGACCGUUAAGUUGUUAAGGAUCAACAGUAAAUUAUGAGAAGCUGACCAUGCAAAGACAAGUGCAAGAACUCCACGAGAUGAAGAGUUUCUACUGUAUUACUGAAGUCCUCUGAAAGUGAUGUUAAAAAGCAUCUUAUCACCUGAUGAAUUCUUCAGGAAUCUUUCUGUGGCUUAUUUUUAAAGGUGCUGGCCAAGUGACCCUUAUCCUAUAUUGCCUAUGAUCUUCAAAAUGGAAUUCUUAACUUAUAGAACACAUCCUUGUGGCUUAAGUCCGUGCUUCAUCACUAUUCCGGAAGAUACUAAGAUAACAGAAAGGAAAUAACACAAACCAGUUAUUAAGCAGUAAAAUAGCACUCUGCAGACUGCUCUUGCUUGGAGCUUGAUGCUGGAUUUUAUGGGCUUUUCAAUGUUGCAUUUAUACUGGUGUCGCUUUGGUUAAAACUUGCAGCCC